AGGCGGUGUGCGGGGAAGCUCGCGCGCCCCGGCGAGCCGUUGGAGGCGCGCGCGGCCGCCAUGGAUCCGUGAGGGCGCCCCAGCCCCGGUGCCGGUGCCGGCGGGGCAGCCGGCAAGGCUGCUGCCGGGAGGCAGGCAGACAGUGCGGAGCGUGCCCCAGAGCGCCGCAGGGGUCGCGCUGGCCUCUGAUUGCUCAGGCUGAACUUGCUAUCUAAGAGGCUGUGUCUUGUACUCCUUGAGAUACUAAAUAUUUGGAUCCUUACCAUUUGAAUAUUGGAAGCUUGAAAAACAUCACUGCAAACAAAGCUGCCUUUUGGGCCUCCACCCUAAUUCUCCUUCCCCUUACUUAAGCUAUUCUUCUCUGCUGGAUUCAGGAAAAUUAAAAGUUUCAACAUACCUGGAAGCCAAAG
This is a long non-coding RNA of Colius striatus (speckled mousebird), 410 nucleotides long. RefSeq lists it as uncharacterized. The transcript is spliced from 3 exons. The record is from RefSeq and is a predicted model, not a curated record. NCBI's taxonomy places the organism in Eukaryota, Metazoa, Chordata, Aves, Coliiformes, Coliidae.